RNAcentral lists this transfer RNA (63 nucleotides) under Neolethaeus assamensis. Its description in RNAcentral is "tRNA-His". The record is from RNAcentral. Lineage: Eukaryota; Metazoa; Arthropoda; Insecta; Hemiptera; Rhyparochromidae.
AUCUAAGUAGUUUAAUUAAGAAUUUUAAUUUGUGGUAUUAGAGGUACUUUUUAGUCUUAGGUU